Molecule: long non-coding RNA, 7353 nt
Organism: Chrysemys picta bellii (western painted turtle)
Lineage: Eukaryota; Metazoa; Chordata; Testudines; Emydidae
Source: RefSeq, a predicted model, not a curated record
AACAGUGAAAUUACAUAUAUAUAAAAUAUAAUAUAAUGUAUAAUGUAUAUUUGCAAGUUUUAUAUAUAGAUAAAAAAAUUCACACAAAUAUUUGUUUGCAAAUAUGUAGAUCACAAUUUGCAAACAAAUAUUUUUUGUAAAAAGGCUAUUUUUCUUUGAAAAAACUUGGUUAGAAAUGUUUUGAUUGGCUCUGAUAUAAUAAUUCUUUGCCUUUAACAUCUUUCAUCCAAGUAUCUCAAAGUGCUUUACAUAGGAAGGGAAGUAUUAUCCCAGUUUUGCCGAUGGGAAAUUAUGGCACAGAGCAAUUAACUGACUUGCUCAAAGUAUGAGAGCAAAUCAGGGCUAAAGAGGAGAAUAACUGCCUCAGUUUCUCAGUACUGAGAGUCCUACAGGUUGGCAAGCACUAAAUGUUGGUAAGAUCUUAAUGAUGGUGCUUAGUAUUUCAGUCCACGUGUGAGACACUGCUUUGAAAAUCAAAUUUGCAUCACCAAAACCAUGUUGUGUGGCACCAUCUGUACUAGAUCCUGGUUGACAGAAGUCUUUUACUAUUUGCUGCUAACUGUCUAUUCCUUACCUUCCCCAGGUAACAAGAACUCCAUGUAUAACAGUUUGCAUUAUGAAUAGGAGUUUGCCCCUGUUUCCCUGUGCACUAUAUGCGAGGGAAGCAGCAGGAAUUGGUUUUAAUAUUUUAACAAUAGUAAAAACAAAGUAAAGUGUAAUUUUUAGGUGCUGUAGGAUUGACAAGGAUAGAGUUUUGUUUUUGUUUAUUUUAUUUGUGCUACAAUCUGUUUGGAAAGUGGGGAAGGAGGGCAAUACAUGCAGGAUAUGUAACAUUGUCCAGAAUUGACAGCCUUUAAUAGAAGAGUCUAAUAUGUGCUAUAAUGCCGAGGCUGGACUGGAGUAAACUAGAUGUAGCAGCAGCUUCCCCUUGCAGUCAGAUGUUCCUUUCUUUUUGGGUUUAGGUCUCAACUUUUAUUUCUGGCUACAUUUGUGUUCAGUUACAAUAUUUGUCUGUUGGUAAAAGUGACCUUAUAUACUGGGCAUAACGAACCAAAUGAAAAACUAGUAUAACCUCAUGAAAUCAAUGGAAUCAUAAUAGUGCUGAAUGCAGCCCAACCUCUGCAAGACUGGAUCCGCAUGCUGUGGACAAGGCAUUCCUCUCAGAAUUUCUACAUAUUUCCCCCCUAAAUCAAUAACAAUGUGUUAUUAACAAAAUGCUGCUAGAGCCAAACUCAUGACCCCCUGCAUUUAAUCUGCACUCCCAACAUGGAAGUUGACAUUGAAAAGGGAUGGGAGGGGCUUACCAUGGCUCGAGUCACCCAUAAAAAUGAAGAUUUUUUUUUUUGUAAUGAGUAACAGCCUGAUUCUGCUAUGUGCUGAGCACCCACAACACCUCUAGAAGUCAAUGAAAACUGACUAAUUGGCACUUCCCAGGGGGAACUCAGCACCUCACAGGACAAUACCUUACAUUUUUUUUACGCGAGUAUCACAAAGCUGAAUACCAUCACAGCAGAUACAAGAAAAGACAAAUACUUUUUACCCAAUUGCCGAAGCUGCUCUUCAUUGAGCCAGCCUGUGGAUGGUUUAUAAAUGGAGCUCUAAGAAAAACCUACUGAGAUAUCAGCUACAAAAUGAAUAAGGAUGGAGCUGUUCUUUUUAUUUUUUUCUCUUUGUCUUAAUGAUAGCUGAAUAGCACACUGGGUCGGAGUCUCUCCGGAAGGCCCUUCACACACACUCUGGGGCCUAGCGUAAAUGAGAAUUAGGCCCACAGAGUUAAAAAUACUGAAAUAAUACAAAUCGCUAAGUUUGGGGCAUAUCCCAAACUGCUCAUGUUGUGGGAAGUCCCAAGUGGUUCACAAUUGGAAACAUCUGGCUCACUUCACGGAAGCGUCUCAGCAGGCAACACGCUCCUAGUCAAGAUGUUUUGAAUUUUUAGUGUAACGCAUAUUAAAGCAACAAUGGGUGUAUUCACUGGAAGAAGAUCCCUGGGGUUACUGGAUUUUCUUCAUUUUGUGCUCAAACCAAGGUUUGUUUAUUUGAAAUGUAACCAGUGAAGAACAUAACAUGGGACACCACUUUUAAUGGAGAAAUGGGAGAAACCCUUGGUAAUCUCAGGCAUUUUUAAUUUCAUAGGUGAAAGCAGACAGAGUGAUAUUGUUUCAUGCAUUUGUGACCCAUUUUUCUUUCAGUCAAAAAUCGUGUGGUGUCGAUGCCACGAAGGACUCUUUAGCAAAAAGCGCUGAAGCCAUUGUUGAGAGGGUCACUCUUCACACACAGGCAUUUGGAAGCCUAAGCAGAGAAUUACUCUGGUAGUUGGGCACCAUUGCAGUGUCUUGCCUGGCACUGCUUCUUCUCUAUGCUUCUGGAAUUGUAUGGGUCAAGCAGCAUAAGUUUUUUGUAACCAAAGGAACUCCCCUUCCAUCUGGUGAUCCAGAUCUGGUUCCAUCUUUAACUGUCUUUGGCAAUGAUGUGUGUGAGAGAGGGAGUGGCAACAAUGCUCCACCUCAAGCACUGAUUGCAGCUAAAUGCAAACUGCUGGGACCAUGUUUCCCUUGCAGAAACCUGAGGCAAACUCUUCAUGCACAUUUUGCCUCAGGUAUCCUGAAGAGGAACAUGACUCUCUCCUAGUUUUCCUGCCAAAACCGAGCCAAAGUUUUGUGAGUUUCUUUGUGAUCACGGAAUUCACUGAAAAGGUACACAAAGUCCAGGCCAGUGUGUUCCAAUAGAAGCCCAACGUUGUAAGGAGUAGCAGCACGACAUACAUGUUUCUCUCUUGGCAGUCCAAAGUGCUCUUGUAAUAAUUUGCAUAUCGUAACUGAAACUAAUACAAAUCUUUAGAGCUUUGGCUGGAGCGCUGAGGAUACAGGGGACACAUGAGCCUUGGUGUUGCCCAUCUUCUCAUUCCCCCUGGUUAGCACUUACCUGUCUCUUCUCCACUAGACUGCAAUCAGCCCCUCCCCUUCCAAUGAACUCCCUCUCACUGGUCAUGCAAGAAGAUGACUAAAUUACCUAAAAUAUACUAACCUAAAACAUGGUUUUUGUAUUGCUUUCCCCAUCUUCACUCCUUGCUCUGCUGAUUCGUGCGUUGUUUUGUUUGCUUUUUCUUUUUCCUCCUGUCUGUUGCUUCCCUUACGCUCUCCUCCUCUCUCUCUCUCUCUCUCUCUUCCCCUCUCCCCAUUCUUCCAUGGGGUCCCCAUAUUUCAGUUUUUUCCCUUACACGUUCUCUGCAUCCCGGCUUUUUUUUCUUUUCACAGCCCUGUCUUUCUGCCACCAACCUCUCCAUCUCCCCUUCCUAUGUCUGUCUGUCUCUCUCCUACUCCUUCCCCUGCGUCUCAUGUCUUUCUGCCAGCCUAUCUACCUAGGCUUUUGCUAACUGAGCACUAUCCUUUCUCAUGCCUCUCCAAUUCCUCAUUCCAUUUACAGUUGUUGUUGUUUUUGUUUUUUGUUUGCUCUUUCUGUUCCUAUCCCAACAUGCACCAGCAGAUGUCAGCCACCCUGGACCCAGAUUACAUGUCCUACUCUCUAUGCAGGGAAUGUAUGCGUGGCUUCGACCUGCUGCUUCUUCCUGCUCUUGGGAUCCACAGUGCAAACUCUGCAGUUGAUCUCUUCCUGCUACUGCAAACUCUGAGGGUUCCAGAUAUCGUUCUGGCAAAUGAAUUGCCUGAAAGGAGAAAAAAUGGCCUCAAACUGAAAUUCCUAACAAACAAGCCGGGGCAAACAGGAUUGUUUUUUGUUUUGUUUCCUCCUUUUCUGUCCCUAAUUUUGCCAAAUUAAAAAGGUCAAAGGUGAGGUUGAACAUUUAAAAAAAAAAGGCAGUACUAUGUGUCAAAAACAUAGAAACAAGCUGAAAUAUGAAGUGGUCUAUUUGUGACUGUGAGUUUGUUUUGUAAGCAUUGUAUGUCUCCAUAUCAAUUCCUCUUCGUCUUUUGGAUCUCUUUUUUCCAACAGAGCCGUUAAGCAACAAAAAUAGUGGUGUACUUCCUUUAUGUAUUUUCUGCAUCUCUCAAGCUGAUGAAAGGAAUAAAAGUGUUUUUUAUGCUCAUCACAAGUUCUGUCUGCCCCACUUGUUUUUUGUAAGUGAUGCAGUUGGUCCCCUGACUUUUUUCUGUCUACCAUUUCAGAUAAUUAGCAAGCUCGCAAAGUUCACUACUCAAAACACAUUCACAAACACUGGCUGCUUCCCGUGAAGGAAGUGGCUCAGCAAAACUCUGUGUUGGUAUGGGUGUGUGUAUGUACAUGCACUGAAAAUAAAGAUUUUUCGCACACAAAAAUCUCUUAAAUUUCCUCCACAGUUCAAAGUUAAUGGAAGCUUCAGCAUCUGAUGGGAUUUUGUAGUACAGCCCCUUUCCUGGGCACACUAUCAACAAGAAGCGGUGGUACAUCUGUUAGUCCACUAAGGAUCAAUGGUGUCUAGAAAGCUAAGGAAUGGACCCAAGGACUUUCUGAGUGCCCUGGCCUCACUACAUGGUUUUCCCACUUGGAGGUUAGCCAGUUUGCCUUGAAGGAAAAGAAAGAACACUCUGGAGGGAGGUCCGGCUGGCUGGCUGGCUAUGGGAACUGGCAAUGAAAUGCAGAACCUUUCACCUCUAGGUUGCUAGUUCAAAUCCAACCCUGUACAGUAGUGACCAAAAGUUGUUACCAUCUGGUGGCUGCUUGGUGGCCUUUGUAGAAUGAGCCUUUGUGGUCCCGGUCUUGCUGUUAACAGGCACGUAGAUGGAUCACCACCAUAAAUGAAGCAAACUGGCAUCCCUGCACCAGUCUCGGUAGAGAUGCCAAGCGUGGAAUAGGCCUAGAGACUGAAUUGUCCCCUCCUCUCCUCGUGGUGGUCCUUCUAGUACUGGGUUGAGAUAACAGUAUGAAGAAGCUUGUACAGCUGAUGGACAUACUGUUUCUUUCCCGUGGAUAGAGGACUUCAGCCUCCUUGCCUGUUAAGCUGACAAUUCAUGCACAUUCAAUUUACUGUUGAAAGAGUAUGACAAAACAAAAUCACCUGGAUCAUUGGCAGUGGAAAAUGGUUACCCUGCAUAAAAAGGCAGAAAUAAUUUCAGCUGGAUUCCAGGAUGAUUAGGCUUGAAUGUUUUGGAUCUGGAGAACUUCAAGGUGAUCCCUUUGAACAGGUUGAGAGAGAAUGAAUCCCUCUUGUAUAGUGGACAAACUGACAAAGUCCAAAGUUUGCAGUCUGUAUCAUAGGGAGCUGGCAGUGCUUUCCUCUGCUGAGGGGCAAAUGGAGUUACAGUAAAAGCUGUGUUAUCCGGCACUUUAUUAACUGGAAAGCUCUAUUAUCCGGCAUUUCUGAUAUCUCCCAAUACAAAUCUUCAAACUAGUAACGAGGACUAGUAUACUGCCCAGGAGGUUAUGCAAUAACACAUUCUGAGGCAGAAGACAAGUAAGCAAGCUGAUAUCAGGGAUUUAUUCAAAAAAGCGGUUUCCAGGGUGUGUCAUAGGGUCGUUACAGAUUCAGCUCAAUCUACUACACCUUUCACAUCUACAAUGAUAAUUGAUGUUGAUAAGGAUGACCCUGAGGCACUGCAAGAGCCUUGAAAUGCCUUCUGAAUUAUCAAAAAAAAAUUAAGUUAUGUUCAGUAUAGUUUUAGUGUUAAGUGUAUUUUUAGUGAUCUGGGUGUAUGCCAUGUGCUGCUCCUAGUGAUAUAUAGUGUCAUAAGAUAAAAGUUUUCUAUACAGUAGGUUACCUGUAUACACCUAAGUGCUUCAAGAAACCAACCACUGUGCAGUGCAGGACUACUACUGGAUUGGUGAAUACCUGUGUACUGUAUUACUGUAUUUUAUACCUUAUUCAUUUUAUUGUAUUCUAAUUCUUUGAAAAUUGGUAUUCCAUUGGUCAAGUAUAACUCUGUUAACCGGAAUAUUUGAUUAACCAGCACCCACCAUUUCCCCAACAUGCCGGAUAACAAAGCUUUUUCUGUACGUACCUCAGAUUUCUCCAAAGGAGCUCUGCUCUUGAUGUCAAAUGGAAGGCAAUGGGCUGGCAAGUCUCCUCCAUCAGGUCUGUACACCAUUAUGUAUAAGAUUUUGGUGAUAAGGGUCUCCUCUCUAUUUCAGGGAGCUAGGAUCUCAACCUGGUUUAUAAGGACACUCAUACAGACAGUUCAGCCUGACUGUACACCUGCUCCAUUUAUCUAUCUAGUUUUAUAUAAUGCCUAUCUGUAUAUGAGCACCUUCCACAUAAAAUCAAUAGCAACAGGAGAGUCACUAGAGGACUUCAUGGAAUCUCUGGGACUCCUCCCUUUAUGGGAUCAGCCCUCUCCUUGGGAUAGGGGUUUGGGGGUUUUGGGGGGUGGAGUGGGAUAUGAGGGGCAGUUGAAAGGGGUUUUAGAAUAAAAGGUGUUUUGAAUUGUAUCACUUAUGGUGGAGGAAGGCUUGCAAGAUUUCCUAAAGAUGGUAAGACUGUGGAAUUCACCUGAUCUCUAGAAAAUUGUUCCAUAGCAGGAUCCCUUCAACAGAGAAAGUUUUGUCCACAGCCCUCACGUGCUUCAUCCUGGGCUUUGUGAUCUGCGUAGUCCUAGAAAAGAGCAACUGUUGUGGGCAUUCAUAGGUCACAAGUUGGUCUUCGAGGUAACUGGGGCCUGAUCCGUUAAUUGCUUUGAAAAUUAGGACCCAGGCCUUACACCAGCAUUGGAAGCUGACUGGAGUAGUAGAGAGAUUUGAGCACAGGCCUGAUGUGCUCUACAUCAGCCUGAGCCAAGGAGAAGGUGGGUAGCCAAAUCCUAUACCAGCUGAAGCCUCUGCAUCAUCAUCACGUUCAGCUUCAGAUGCAAUGACUUACAACCAUCCUCCCUGCAGCUAUUACAGUACCUGUGGGUCAAAGCAGGUAUUCUGAUUUUGGCUCAUUCCAGCUUAAGAAUGAACUUGUCUCCUGGUAAUAUAUAUCAUGCCUUGUUACUGUCAGAUUAAUGAGUUCAAUAUUCUGUCAAUUCUUCAGGAAUCACAUAUACGCUAACAAGCUGAAAAAAGCAUCUAAAUUGGGCAGAGCAGCUAAAAUUCUUUAAGGAAGAAAGAUAAGCCAGAUGAAGGAGGUUUUCUAAUUUAUUUAUUUUUUUAAUUCAGCGCAAACAAUGCCUUUGAAAAGCCACUUUAUCCAAAAGCAGUGUUAAAUCUUGGUUUCCCCUCUUAGCGUACAGCUCUUUAAUGUUUUGUAGGCACCGGAAUUGAAUCCCAGCCAAAGACUCCUAAGAUGGGGGUGGAUUUGUCCGCAUAGCAGGAAACGCAUGCCAUGUUCAGAGAGAUGUGGCUGCCCCUGGGAGCAAACUGCAUUGCUGUAAUGCUUCUGUAAAACUAUUUCUUCAAGGCAUUUAAAUCAUCUUUUGGAAAAAUGUUCAAAAUAAAAUUGUUCAU